Molecule: ribosomal RNA, 252 nt
Filed under: uncultured bacterium
Lineage: Bacteria
Description: partial 16S ribosomal RNA
Rfam family: Bacterial small subunit ribosomal RNA
Source: RNAcentral
UACGUGGGUCCCGAGCGUUGUCCGGAUUUAUUGGGCGUAAAGCGAGCGCAGGUGGUUUAUUAAGUCUGGUGUAAAAGGCAGUGGCUCAACCAUUGUAUGCAUUGGAAACUGGUAGACUUGAGUGCAGGAGAGGAGAGUGGAAUUCCAUGUGUAGCGGUGAAAUGCGUAGAUAUAUGGAGGAACACCGGUGGCGAAAGCGGCUCUCUGGCCUGUAACUGACACUGAGGCUCGAAGGCGUGGGGAGCAAACAGG